RNAcentral lists this ribosomal RNA (484 nucleotides) under uncultured bacterium. RNAcentral's name for it is "partial 16S ribosomal RNA". It matches the Rfam family "Bacterial small subunit ribosomal RNA", at positions 28 to 523 of the family's 1533-position model. The record is from RNAcentral.
GAUGAACGCUGGCGGCGUGCUUAACACAUGCAAGUCGAACGGUGAAGCAGGAGCUUGCUCUUGUGGAUCAGUGGCGAACGGGUGAGUAACACGUGAGCAACCUGCCCCUGACUCUGGGAUAAGCGCUGGAAACGGCGUCUAAUACUGGAUAUGUUAUGUGACCGCAUGGUCUGCAUCUGGAAUGAAUUUCGGUUGGGGAUGGGCUCGCGGCCUAUCAGCUUGUUGGUGAGGUAAGGGCUCACCAAGGCGUCGACGGGUAGCCGGCCUGAGAGGGGGACCGGCCACACUGGGACUGAGACACGGCCCAGACUCCUACGGGAGGCAGCAGUGGGGAAUAUUGCACAAUGGGCGGAAGCCUGAUGCAGCAACGCCGCGUGAGGGAUGACGGCCUUCGGGUUGUAAACCUCUUUUAGCAGGGAAGAAGCGAAAGUGACGGUACCUGCAGAAAAAGCACCGGCUAACUACGUGCCAGCCGCCGCCGUAA